Molecule: long non-coding RNA, 2772 nt
Organism: Nematostella vectensis (starlet sea anemone)
Lineage: Eukaryota; Metazoa; Cnidaria; Anthozoa; Actiniaria; Edwardsiidae
Exons: 2
Source: RefSeq, a predicted model, not a curated record
GCGUCACAUACGGUUUUGCGAUGACAUCAUCGCGAUCUAUUUUUAAAAUCGAUCUUGGUUAAACUUUAACCACUAAAAGUAGACCUUAUAUAGACUACAAAACCGAGGUAUAAAUCUUUACAAGGACAUGUCCUCAUGUCUGGCGUAUUGUGGGAAACCAAGCGAUUCUGAGUUUAGCAGAAAUUUUCACCACGCAAAGGCCACUCCGAAUGUACCUCUAUCCCCGGAUUUGAGAUGUGCAGUAUCAGCGCUUGCAGCCUGGUCAGCGGUAAGGAUGGGGAUCGAUCAUUUCAUGUGUGACGGGUAUUCCAAAUAAAAAACAACAACAACUCCAACUAGACACGGAAAAAAACAAGCAGGAAAUAAAAUCCGCUACCUCCCGCACCAAAGGUCGGUCCUUUAGGCGGCAUCAUGAGCAGAGCGUUGCCGGUGCGUGUUGGGACAUCUUGUGGAAUAAAGGGCUUGGGAGUGGUCUGAUGAGUGUUUCACUCGUCAAGAUGCAGCGGCUGUCCCCCGGCCGGAAACAAACGGAAGUACAGGCUACAAAGAACUCCCACUUGGAAAUGGAUUAUUAGCGUAACUCAACACCUAGGAAUCACAGACAUUAUUGCGCAGAGUCCCGCGCUGAGCCGGUAAGGCAUGUGUUCUAAAGACGGAACUAAAUACUCGGAUGAUUUGGGUUCAUAGCUCAUCUGUGAUACUUACUAGGGAUCUGAAACGCUCGGUGUGCAGAUGACAGGUCAUCGAAUUACAACGUAUUAUAAGAACAGCUCACAAGUCAUAUGUAAGACACGUACUUAAUGUCUCUCACACUUGCUUUCGGAUGCUUUGAGAAGUGAGACGUAUGUGAAAAGCACUGUUGUAAAUAGGCCUAAUUAGCAAAGGGCGCGUACAUGUCACACGAGUCGUGUCAACUGUAGAACUGUCUCGCUUUCCUUCAGGGGCGGACCAUUUUACUUUUGAGGGGGGGGGGAUUUCGAAAAAAAAAUUAUCCUGCAAGCUACAUUUCAAAGAAAAAAAAUUGCAUGCAAAGCAAACGAGCAGAAAGCAAAUUCAUGCACAAGUUUAAGAAAAAAAAAAUUGCAAAACCAUUGUGUGGAAAGAUGAACUCUAUAAAAUAGAAUUUCUAUAAAAUAGAAUUAAAAUUCUGUGAUAACUUUGAUGUUUUUUACUCUAUAAAACGUUUUUCUCUAUUUUUUUGAUAUGUGUAUUUUGUAUUUCUUCUCAAAAUAUUGUUGAAAGUUUCUAUUGGUUGAGACUCGCCCUUUCCUUAUAAAGUUGUCUGGUCUUCUCCUAUCAGAUAAAACUAGUUCCGGGCUAGUUCCAAUGGUUUUAUUUUAAAAUUACAUUCUGAAGAAAAACAAAAGUGCUCAUUUCUGAAGAAUUUUCAAUGAUGAUUGCUAUAAUGCCCUAUAAUGCAAUCAUUUUAGAAAUAAAUACCCAAAAGUUAACUUGUACGGACAGAAGUCAUAUAUACUAUACUAUAUAUAUAUACAGGCGGAGAUACCAACCAUCGAUUAUAAUUCAGGAGAUGGGAUCUAUAUAAAUGCUUGCCCCCUAAAAAUGUCAUUGUUUUGUGGAAUAUUUCAACAGAACCUUAAAAAACAUUCUAACAAAUGUUUCAAAGAAGCUUCUCUUUUUUGGCUAUUUUAUCUGACUCAAUAUGCAAGGUAAGAGCUUGAUAGCGAAGACUCGUUUGGCUAUGACACGAAGGUCUUACCAUGUAUAAUCCCUAUAUCUAGUAAGUUUAUUGAAUUAUAAUUUUAAUCUAUUCAAAGGUCAAAUAGUAUGAAACACAACGUACGGAGUUCUAUAUUAGUGAUAUGAUAUGGGCUCCAAGAAAAAAAAAAGUCCUGCAUAGCAGUACAUGGGGAAAAAAUCCUGCACAUCCGAUGGGCGAAAAAAAAAUUCUUGAAGACAUAAAAUCACCCCCCCCCCCCCCUAAAAAAAAAUGGUCAGCCCCUUAAAACUGCCUAGAACUGCGUCUAGGGUGGUGAGAUAUAAUAUGGAGAGAAAAAGGCUGAAAAACAUUUUAAUAAAAAUAAAAAUUUUAAUAAAAAUAAAAAUUUUAAUAUACAUAUUAAAAUAUGUCCCUGAAGCACAAGACACACCCCCUAGACAUGAUGUGGUUGAUUGGGUGUAUUUUCUGUACCUUCAUGAGCUUCAGAAAGGGAACCCAUUGCAUAGGUCGCUACUUUAUACGAGCGCGCGCAAUAUUUGUUUGUUUGGACUUAUACCGUAUCAUUUCAAAUUCAGUUAACUGUGUACUGGAUUACAAGCGGGUCAUUAUAAAAAAAAUGUAAAAGUCUUCUAUGUUUACAUUCCGCGCAAGCCGGGUAAUAUUGUUUUGACAUGAAGCCUGAUUCGAACCGUUCAUUUUUUUAAAAUGAACAAGAGAAGUUUGAAAAAGCCACAUGAUGCUGGAUGGAAUUCUUAAAGGGGGUCACAAUACCAAUUGUGUAGGUUUUGACAUAAUUUUUCACCCUAUGUCCGUGGUGCAUUUGGCGUGUUAAUUUUUUUUCUGAUGAUAUUUUUUGACAUGAUCAAUAGUAUUUUUUUUUCUUCUGUAUACCGUCAGUAAAUAUCCGCAAGCAAAAAUGAUUUCCAACCUAUUUGAAGUGAAGAUUAUACAAUGUUUUUCAAUCAUUUCUUUAACAACAACACAAAGGCACACAGCGGUAAUGAUGCAUUUGAGAGCGCACGACAAUAAGCAAACAGUGAACCAGCACAGUGUACUGGCAGCUAGUGACGUCAUGGAACGACAUACAAAAA